CGGCACGGACGGGAAGUCGGACGGGUCAGCCCCAGGCCCCGGUGGCAGCGCGGCUUCUACCGACACCUCUCCUACCACCGCACUAGGCUCUUGCAUCAGCGAAAGGGAACGACACCCCGCCCUCUCUUCCCAAGCGUUGGAAAUACGCCUGCGCAGAGGCUGCCAAGGCGCAGGCGCGCGGAGGAGCCGACCUGGAGCGCUCCGUCUGGCGCGAGUUACCAGGCGACGGCGCGGCGCGGCGCGGCGCGGCGCGGCGGCCGGCAAGCCGGGACUUGUAGUCCACCUAAAAGAGGCGGGCACUUAGAGGACGGCCGCCCAGCGAUCCGUGCGCGUGUGAGACGUCUAAAGGAAGUCGCAAGGAACAUGGUCCCAGGUCUGACUUCCCUGAACUGGCUCCUUGCAAGAGACUCUUCAGAGAUUUCAAGCAUUCCCCCAAGAUACAGAAGCCAAGUUAUGGAGUCCACAAAAAAUAGUAAGAAAUCCAGAAAUAGACUACUCGAAUCUUCACUGUGGGCCAUUUUUGAUGCUCAGCACCACUCUAGAUCUCCCACUACUCAAUAGUAAG
Molecule: long non-coding RNA, 565 nt
Filed under: Ailuropoda melanoleuca (giant panda)
Lineage: Eukaryota; Metazoa; Chordata; Mammalia; Carnivora; Ursidae
Description: lncRNA (ENSAMEG00000028430.1)
Source: RNAcentral